GACGAACGCUGGCGGCGUGCUUAACACAUGCAAGUCGAACGAAAAGAGGGAAAGAGCUUGCUCUUUCCGGAAUUGAGUGGCAAACGGGUGAGUAACACGUAAACAACCUGCCUUCAGGAUGGGGACAACAGACGGAAACGACUGCUAAUACCGAAUAAGUUCCAAGAGCCGCAUGGCCCAUGGAAGAAAAGGUGGCCUCUACCUGUAAGCUAUCGCCUGAAGAGGGGUUUGCGUCUGAUUAGCUGGUUGGAGGGGUAACGGCCCACCAAGGCGACGAUCAGUAGCCGGUCUGAGAGGAUGAACGGCCACACUGGAACUGAGACACGGUCCAGACUCCUACGGGAGGCAGCAGUGGGGAAUCUUCCGCAAUGGGCGAAAGCCUGACGGAGCAACGCCGCGUGAGUGAUGACGGCCUUCGGGUUGUAAAACUCUGUGAUCCGGGACGAAAAGGCAGAGUGCGAAGAACAAACUGCAUUGACGG
This 481-nucleotide ribosomal RNA is filed under the name uncultured bacterium. RNAcentral describes it as "bacterial SSU rRNA". It matches the Rfam family "Bacterial small subunit ribosomal RNA", at positions 28 to 475 of the family's 1533-position model. The record is from RNAcentral.